CCUUGUACACACCGCCCGUCACACCAUGAAAGUUGGUUUUUAUCAGAAGUCGUCUGGUUAACCGUAAGGAUGCCAGCGCCCAAGGUAAGACCGAUGAUUGGGGUG
Molecule: ribosomal RNA, 105 nt
Filed under: uncultured bacterium
Lineage: Bacteria
Description: partial 16S ribosomal RNA
Rfam family: Bacterial small subunit ribosomal RNA
Source: RNAcentral